AUUGAACGCUGGCGGCAUGCCUUACACAUGCAAGUCGAACGGUAACAGGUCUUCGGAUGCUGACGAGUGGCGAACGGGUGAGUAAUACGUCGGAACGUGCCCAGUAGUGGGGGAUAACUACUCGAAAGAGUGGCUAAUACCGCAUGAGAUCUACGGAUGAAAGCAGGGGAUCGCAAGACCUUGUGCUACUAGAGCGGCCGAUGGCAGAUUAGGUAGUUGGUGGGAUAAAAGCUUACCAAGCCGACGAUCUGUAGCUGGUCUGAGAGGACGAUCAGCCACACUGGGACUGAGACACGGCCCAGACUCCUACGGGAGGCAGCAGUGGGGAAUUUUGGACAAUGGGCGCAAGCCUGAUCCAGCAAUGCCGCGUGCAGGAUGAAGGCCUUCGGGUUGUAAACUGCUUUUGUACGGAACGAAAAGCCCCGGGUUAAUACCCUGGGGUCAUGACGGUACCGUAAGAAUAAGCACCGGCUAACUACGUGCCAGCCGCCGCAGUAA
RNAcentral lists this ribosomal RNA (498 nucleotides) under uncultured bacterium. RNAcentral's name for it is "partial 16S ribosomal RNA". It matches the Rfam family "Bacterial small subunit ribosomal RNA", at positions 30 to 523 of the family's 1533-position model. The record is from RNAcentral.